AACGAACGCUGGCGGCAUGCCUAACACAUGCAAGUCGAACGAGAUCUUCGGGUCUAGUGGCGCACGGGUGCGUAACGCGUGGGAAUCUGCCCUUUGGUUCGGAAUAACAGUUGGAAACGACUGCUAAUACCGGAUGAUGACGAAAGUCCAAAGAUUUAUCGCCAGAGGAUGAGCCCGCGUAGGAUUAGCUAGUUGGUGUGGUAAAGGCGCACCAAGGCGACGAUCCUUAGCUGGUCUGAGAGGAUGAUCAGCCACACUGGGACUGAGACACGGCCCAGACUCCUACGGGAGGCAGCAGUGGGGAAUAUUGGACAAUGGGCGAAAGCCUGAUCCAGCAAUGCCGCGUGAGUGAUGAAGGCCUUAGGGUCGUAAAGCUCUUUUACCCGGGAUGAUGAUGACAGUACCGGGAGAAUAAGCUCCGGCUAACUCCGUGCCAGCCGCCGCGGUAA
Molecule: ribosomal RNA, 449 nt
Filed under: uncultured bacterium
Lineage: Bacteria
Description: partial 16S ribosomal RNA
Rfam family: Bacterial small subunit ribosomal RNA
Source: RNAcentral